Molecule: non-coding RNA, 7296 nt
Organism: Phoenix dactylifera (date palm)
Lineage: Eukaryota; Viridiplantae; Streptophyta; Magnoliopsida; Arecales; Arecaceae
Source: RefSeq, a predicted model, not a curated record
UAUACAGGGAGAUAAGAAAGAAAGAAAAGAGAUCCAAUAAUCCAACUGUCAAGGAAAGGAGCUACGCAUAUUAAAUGAUUUGCAAAUGCAUUAGUAAGCAGUUCUGUAUGCAUUGACACAAGAUUUUCUUGUUCAAAAUAAUUACCCAAACAACAGUCAGUUGCUACUGCAUAACCUAAUUUACAAGGUACCACUGCAUCGUGGUUCUGCCAAGGGAUGCGAGAUAACGAGAGGAAACACUAACCAUGAUCGACAAAUAUCUUUUUUUUUGAUAUAGGUCAACAAAUAUCUUUACAUCUACCUGGGAUCAGCUUUAUACAACAAUCCGUCAUCUGGUCCUAAUUAAGGGAAUAUCCCCUACCUAGGUCACUUCACCACUUCCAUCCAUGUCUUAACCACCUCCAACACCCUCAAACAAAAAGCCCUCUUAACAUUUCUAACACAUUUUAUUUUGGGAAGACUGCUAACAGUAAAAUUGGACAACAGAUAAUUCAUCUCACAUGUGUAGUACCCUUGGUCACUCAUCUACUACAGUACAAGGAGACAACUAUAUAUGUGAAAAUUAUUUUCUAUCUCCAUCUAUUUCACAGCCACUAAAUAAUCCGGAGACUUCUUGACCUCAACUCUGCACAUGCUUGAUUGUCCAAAAGUCUAAUCUGUCCAAAAUAUGUCUUCCAUGGAAGUAAGGUUUGGGAGGAAGGUUCCUUCUCCUUACAGCUCAUCCAUGUCUAGGCUAAACCAGAAAUUGGACAGAAUGACCAGAUGAAAUUAAGUAGCAUAUGUCAUUUCAUAAGUAUAUGGAGAUUCUAUAGCUUCAUCUGCAGAUUUAGCUUAUGCUUUAUGAUACAAAAUGUUGCGCAGUUAGAAAACAACAUGUGCACAAGAUGUGUGUAGCUGUAAUAAGAAUGUUGAAAUGGAUGUAUGGUAACAUAAAAUACAUAGAAUAAAAAGUGCAGUCAUUCAUAAAAAGAUGAAGGUAGCAUCAAUUGAGGAUAAAUUGAGAAAAGAUAACUUUGAUGGUUUGCAUAUGUACAAUAUAAACUUAUGGAUACAUCAGUACAAUGGACCUCACUCAAAAAAGCUAGUCGAAAUGUAUUAUUUAGGUUCUUUGGCUCUGUAUAAGUACUUCAAAAUCUAUCCAGUGCGUAGCAAAUGUGGGACUAAACACACACCCACACAGGUCCUCACAUACUCUCCUUAUUUAUGCCAUGGCAUCCUUGCCAGGCUAAGGGUUCAAAUCCAUUCAAUCUAAUCAAAAGCACCACGAUCGGCCCGUGGUCAGUCCCAAUAGAUCCGUGUUGCAGUGUCCUCCAGUCCACAUAGGCCAUAGGCUGAGUUUGCUUUGAUACCAUUUCCAACAACCCAAGAUCUCACCCAAAAGUCUAGCUAGAAGAUAUUAUUUGGGUUCUUUAGAGUUGUAUAAGUAUCCAAGAUCUAUCCGGUGGCUGUGGGACUAAACACAUGUCCGCGCAGGUCCUCGCGAAUAUAUAUAGAAAGAAAAAGGAACAGACAAAGACCGAAAUCACAUGGAUGAAAUAGUAAGGACUUGUAUCGCCUCAAAAAUGUGGCUCUAAACAAAGUGGAAUGAGGAAAAGGAUUCAUGUAGCUGACCCCAACUAAUUUGGGAUUAAGGCAAAAUUGAGCUGAGUUGAGUUGUGAAGAUUCUGCAAAUUAUGUACUACUCUUUUGCAAUUUUUUCCAAUCCAUCAUAUCAGCAUUGUUUUUUGAUGAUUGCUCUGGACAGACUGAAAACAUCAACUGCAUAAAGGUUAUAUAAUUUCUUUCUUGCAACAUAUGGUUGGCACAGCAGGCUAAGAAAAAUCUUCCCAAGGGGAGAUGCAAUUUUACGUUCAAGCCUUCAAGAAGAGUAGUUCAUGCCUGAAGCUAUUGAUUGGCUAGUCUCGUAUACCUAGUUUCAGGUUCACAAUCACCUAAAUUUUAUACCGGGUGAUGCAGUAGCAUGUUAUCCAAAGCUUCAACUUCACUCUGUCAGAGGAUACUACUGGAGGGAACUGAAUAUUAAGCUCUUUAAACCUGUCAAGGGGAAGUUUACCAAAAGCUGCUACCUGCUCAGUAAAAGGUUGUCGGCAAUGCAACUAGUGUGCAAAAUGAACAAAGAUUAGAAUAUGAAUGUUUCCAAGGGUAGACAGGAAUUCAACACUUAAAGAAUCCAAAAUAAUUCCUUUACAUAGCCAGGGGUCCUAAUAAAAACUUAAUUUAGUAGGCUUCUAACUCCCACCACAAAUUUGAUGCGCUUCUCUGCAUUUAAAUUUUGAGGAUAGAUUUAAGAGGAAAGAAUCAGCAUACAAGACUAAAUCCAAAAACUUUUAUCACCUACAUAACUCUCCUUGUCUGAUUGUAUCCAAGAGGGAUUUUUUACAGAAAGAAUACCUCAGAUGAGCUCACAAUAAGUAGCUCUCUUCCAUUAAUAUUUUAAAGAUUCAACACAUCUUUGUUCUAUGUUUGCAAACAGUAGACAAAUAAAUUAAAUUUAAAUCAUGCUCUCCACUCAAUCUUUUGACAGACUAGUCCUAAAACGACUUUUCAAUUUCUUUGAUGAUAGCAGAAGAUGGGACUUUGAAGCAAUCCAACCAACAGAUUAGAGAACAGAUUAACUCCAAAAACGCUUCUCCCUGUCAAGGUAUGUCGCCAUGGUUUCCUUUCAACGGAUUUAGGAUGUCUUUAACUAUCGUUCAGUUCUUCCUCCAAGGAACAACAACCUCUAAUCAAAUUCAGGCUUUAGAACCUCUUGAUUCAAAAUUUCACUGAAGAAGCUUCAGAAUUUCUAAUAGAUCUAUGGUCUCCAGUACUACAGGUCAUAAGAAAAUAAACAUGGAUAGUGAUUAUACACUUUCCAUCUUAAUUGGAUUAGUAAGUCCCUUCAUCGGAAUAGACUUCCAAAAAGACGAGAUAGACCUUAAAUCACUAGUGUGAAGGAGACACUGGUGUCUCCUUGUCCAAGGCCACAAUGUUGAAGGUGAAGCAUGCAACUUAUCCAUUUGUCAUGAAAUGAUAUCUCAUUGAGCAUUACUAUCAAAAAUUCUCAGGGAAUAACGGCAUAGGCUUUACGAAACAAUCUUGAAGCAGGACUCAGUUAUGCUACCAUAGAUCUGAAACUACUUGAUGGUUAAUAAGCAAGUAAAAAUAUCACCCAAGACACUCUCUUGUUUGAAGGCAGAUCAACUUAUGGGUUCCAUACGCACUGUCAUAAACAAAAUACCAUGCAAAAGAUAGUUCUGAUAUCAGCACCAGCAGAUCUUAGAAUGAGAGCUCGGAAGGUUUGAAUCUGUUUCUUGAACAGUUACCAAAAUUAAAAUUAGUUAAUGCCCCAAAUUAAAAUGAUAGAUAAUGCCUAAGUCACAAAUAUAAAUGGCGUAUUAAUGACUGCCUGACAAGUAUCAUAUUUAACAAUAUACCAAUCAUUUUUGUAGAGACUGUAAUUGUAGUGGAUCUAUCAGGGAUAGAGACUUUGUCAGGACCAGCAGCAUAUGUACUAGAUACGCUGUCACAUAAUAAUGUAUAUAUAGUUUUAUAGCCAUAUUAUACCUCUUUCAUUCUAAGCAUUCUAUGAAUAUAGAUAUAAGCCAUGGAAUGGUGUUGAUUCAGAAAUGUUUAGAAGAGAUCUCUGAAACAAUCCUUAAUUUCCUUCUGGUUAGAACUCUGAACUCUUAUUUCUGCUACUCUCUUCUAGAUGCUAUUUCUGUCUAAUCUAAGCAGCAUUAACGAAUGCAACACUGAUCCAAAGAACUCUAGACUUGAUCUUGUUUGUUCGACUAUAGCAACUUGCAAAUGAAACUAGUUGUUGCAUAAAGAGCUCUUCCUUUUGAACUAGAGGAUCUGAUAUCAGACAAUUUUGACAUCUGCUCAGCUUCUCUUACGAGUUCCUCUCUUUCAAAUUACUGACCUGAUCGCUCAGCAGUUUAAAUGUUUUGCCCUUUUCUUAUCACUCUAAACAUAGGAGUACCUUUGGCUCAAUAUCCAAGCAUGAGAAACUACAGCAAGAAAAUCUUCUUCUUCAGUCUGUUGGAGCAAAUCGGACUAGGCGUAGGGAAGAGGGAUAUACACAACAUAGGAAACAAGUGGUGAAAUCUGAAAUUUAUUUCAUGACUUGAACAUACAAAAUUGGGCCCAAGUAUAAUACUAUUUAUAGGCUCCAAUGGAUCCUUUUAGCUUAUACACUAUUGAUUACGGCUCUUCAAGUUUCCAACUCUUCAUCUACUAGAUACUUCAUUCAAUACAAAAUCUUCAUCUACCAAGUAUCUAAUACAACUCUGCGCUACCAAAGGACUUUUCAGCUGCUAUAACCGUUGACUAGGACAUUUGACUAGAAGACUUUUAUUUUUUCAUGUAGGAUGGCACAUAGAACUACCCAUGCAGACCAUUCAAGCUUAAUUUCCAACACAGGCCACUGAUUAAAGCAUUUAAAGGAUUCAGCCACUACUAAUGAUGACAUCAGAGCCAACUAGAAUAGCAGUAUGAACAAAUAUCUCCACAAGAAAAGAGAUCUUGAAGCUUAGCGAACAGCAUUGCCCAAGCAAUUGGUUAAAGUUUUCACUAAAGCUUAAAGAAGUACUCACCUUUGCCUACCAAGUGUUUGAAACUUGUCAGUUUGGGUUCUAAAUCCAUGUAUUGUGUGAGCAAUCACUUUCAGGUGUUCUAAUAUCUUUCCACUCUACCGGUCUGCCUGAAUUGGAUAUUACAUGUAAGUUUGGUUCCAAGAAACAUGUGCUGUUGAUCUUAUUUUACAAACAACCAUUUGGAUGUUCAUAAAAGAGGCAUCCAAGUGCAUGAGGCCCCCACCAUUGUAAUGUCUAGAAACGAUUAGAUGCAUGCAACCUAACCCUGCAUGCAAUGAGGCUAUUUCUAUAUUUCGAACCUAUGACACCUAGAUUAUAAUGGAGCAAUCUUACCAUAUUGCCAAGGCUAGCCUUCAUUUGGUGUUCCUAAAAAAUUUGCAAAAUUUUGUAUAAGUACCUGACAUAAUCCUUAAUAAGGACAUAAUCUGGAAAUCACAAAUGUUGAGUUUUAGAUAAGUGGAAGGCAUCAAUUAUGUGACACAAAUAACUUCUGCUUUUUGUUCAGGUGAACCUAAAUAACAUGUCAACCAAUAUAUCUAUAUUCAGGUUGUCAAUUGCAGAAGCAACCUGAGUACCUUUUCUUCAGAAUAACAUCAAUGUUAAGCACUUUCUUUGAUUUGCAGAAACUGACAUAUGGACUUCAGUCUCGUCUCUUUUGCUUCCUUAUAGUUUCCAUUGUUUGUUCUCAUAGUAUUGUACCACCAAAAAGAUAAAAAGUCAAAUAUGGAUUGUAAAUAAAACAAUAUCAUUUUUUCACUUCACCUCCGUGCUAUGGACUUAACUAAAUUCCAAAAGGCUAACCUAUCAAUCAUACAAAAUAAGAAACUAACCUCAAUUCUAUCAUCAGGAAGGUCUCUCCAAAAUAAAAGAUGCAUCCCUCCUAGUAAACCCGAGCCUCUAAAUUAAGUGGAAAACUAAAGAACUAAAGGAAAAGGGUGGUGGGUGGUAAUCUCUUCACAUCAAAAAUUAAGACAAAAAUCUCAUUGCGAUCCUUCCCAUCUUCCAGCCCAAUCUCCAUAAGCAAUAUUUUACAAAAUCCCUAAACUAAUAACUCUAUAAUUCAGUCAUUUUUAUUCUGAGCUCAUAUAUUGAUUUUCUGAGCAUUGUGAAUACAAGGUUGAUCCUACUUUUAUCCUCUCUCUCCACCCAAUGUAAAUUCUCAUGAAAGCACCGCACCAUAUAAUUCACAUUUAGACUAAAGAACCAGACAGGGAUGAUCAAACUGAAGUUGGUCAAGAGUACCAGGAUUUCAUCACAAUAAUGAACAUGUACCAUAACUGACCAUCCUAGAAGCAUCAGUGCUUGUGAUAAAAUCAACCUGUCACCUUUUGUUACAUGAUCUGCUAAAAGAUCAAUCAUCUGACUUUAAAUAUAAGAGAUUGGAAACCCUUAACAAAAACCUUUACUAGUACUAGUGAAAACUGAAGAAAAUAUUUGUGAGCAUUGAGAAUUAACAAUUUAUAAAUUCAUGUACAUAAAUUUCACUGCCCAUUCUCUCUAGUUUUUGCUGAUACCUAAUUUGGACAUACCCACGAAAUUCUUAGUUCAGUUUUCAAAAGUUUCUUUGGAGGUUGAUUAUGUUGAUUUUAUGCUUAAAAACAAGCUAGCCUUUAUUUUUCAUUGUAAAGCAUUUUUGUAACCGCAUGCCUUAAAAAAUUAUCACCGAUAUUACCUUUAACACAAGCAAUGUGAUCCCUAAAAGUUAAAAUUUCCAACUUACAAACUUUUUUUUGUCCAAAUGCUAUAUGUUUCACUUAAUCAUGCUUUCUGGCCUAGCAUACCCUUGGUUAUUCACCUCACCAUUAUGAACAAGAUCAAAGAACAUAGCUUUAAGAGCCCUUGAAAUAGAUGAUAUGAAAAGAACACUUGAAACUCCAUCACCAGAUAGUCCAAAAGAAUAUGUCAAAACUUUUGAAUAGCAUGUAAUCAAGUCUAUAUGCUUCAUUUUAUUUUAUUUUAAUCAAGCAUAGCAAGCCAAGCCAUGAGACUGGAGCUAGGACAAAGUUGCCAUGAGGUGACUAACAAACAAUAAAUAAUAAAUCAAGUAAAGGAUCUUAUCAAAAGGUUGUAGUUCUUGAUGCUUGUACAAUAGCAAGGCUGUUAGUGUUGGAACAUUACAAGGUGCCAAGUCUGUCAAAAUCCCAUAAUUAAAGCGAAUCUAAAAAUACGGAUUAUAUAUUAAAGAAAAACUUUUAGCAAGUUAUGUUGGAAUGCUUAUGUUGAAUGUUUUUCAGCAUAUAUUUUAUAAAGCAAAAAUUAAAAGCAAAGUUUCCAUGAAAAAUCACACAAUGAUUAAUGAGGCAUCAUAUCCUUGAUUAUGUCAAAGUUAAAGACACAAUUAAACCUGGAAAAGGAGCAUGUCCUACCGAGGCAAUUGAUCCAUCAUAACAUAAAUACAACUGAUCCCUGAUUCGAAGGUCAUUUAUGCCUCAAUUACUAACGACCCAAAAUUUCUGAAAUAUAUUUCCCAAUCAAGUAGUGUAUGGGAAAGCAAUCCUAUAACCAAGUAGAAUCCUCCAACAAUCAGAAAGUCUUCAACAUGCCUGAACAUACAGGUCAAGUAGAACAAUCCAGGGAGCGAAUAUAAUUUAACAACAAUCAACCUUUAAUAGGUCAAGCAUAUAGUUGUCCAGCUUAAGUUACAAGAGACACUCAAUCCAUUGUGCAGAACACCAGAACGCAUAAAAAGAAACUGAAAACAUACGGAUUUUUUUUUUUU